RNAcentral lists this ribosomal RNA (200 nucleotides) under uncultured bacterium. RNAcentral describes it as "partial 16S ribosomal RNA". It matches the Rfam family "Bacterial small subunit ribosomal RNA", at positions 8 to 199 of the family's 1533-position model. The record is from RNAcentral.
AGAGUUUGAUCCUGGCUCAGGACGAACGCUGGCGGCGUGCUUAACACAUGCAAGUCGAACGGAGAUAUCAGAGUAGUAAUAUGAUGAUAUUUUAGUGGCGGACGGGUGAGUAACACGUGGGUAACCUGCCCUAUGGAGGGGGAUAACAUUCAGAAAUGAGUGCUAAUACCGCAUGAAGUAGCUUUAUCGCAUGAUAGAGU